RNAcentral lists this ribosomal RNA (484 nucleotides) under uncultured bacterium. RNAcentral describes it as "partial 16S ribosomal RNA". It matches the Rfam family "Bacterial small subunit ribosomal RNA", at positions 30 to 507 of the family's 1533-position model. The record is from RNAcentral.
AUUGAACGCUGGCGGCAGGCCUAACACAUGCAAGUCGAGCGGAUGAAGGGAGCUUGCUCCUGGAUUCAGCGGCGGACGGGUGAGUAAUGCCUAGGAAUCUGCCCGGUAGUGGGGGAUAACGUCCGGAAACGGGCGCUAAUACCGCAUACGUCCUGAGGGAGAAAGUGGGGGAUCUUCGGACCUCACGCUAUCAGAUGAGCCUAGGUCGGAUUAGCUAGUUGGUGGGGUAAAGGCCUACCAAGGCGACGAUCCGUAACUGGUCUGAGAGGAUGAUCAGUCACACUGGAACUGAGACACGGUCCAGACUCCUACGGGAGGCAGCAGCGGGGAAUAUUGGACAAUGGGCGAAAGCCUGAUCCAGCCAUGCCGCGUGUGUGAAGAAGGUCUUCGGAUUGUAAAGCACUUUAAGUUGGGAGGAAGGGCAGUAAGUUAAUACCUUGCUGUUUUGACGUUACCAACAGAAUAAGCACCGGCUAACUUCGUG